RNAcentral lists this ribosomal RNA (383 nucleotides) under uncultured eukaryote. RNAcentral describes it as "partial 18S ribosomal RNA". It matches the Rfam family "Eukaryotic small subunit ribosomal RNA", at positions 592 to 976 of the family's 1831-position model. The record is from RNAcentral.
CAAUAGCGUAUAUUAAAGUUGUUGCAGUUAAAAAGCUCGUAGUUGGAUUUCUGGUGGGAGCGAUCGGUCUGGCGCUUAGCGCGAGUACUUGCAUCGUCUCCGGCCAUCCUUGGGGAUAGUCUGUCUGGCAUUAGGUUGUCGGGCAGAGGAUCCUCAUCGUUUACUGUGAAAAAAUUAGAGUGUUCAAAGCAGGCUUAUGCCGUUGAAUAUAUUAGCAUGGAAUAAUAAGAUAGGACUUUGGUACUAUUUUGUUGGUUUGCGCACCAAAGUAAUGAUUAAUAGGGACAGUUGGGGGUAUUCGUAUUCCGUUGUCAGAGGUGAAAUUCUUGGAUUUACGGAAGACGAACUACUGCGAAAGCAUUUACCAAGGAUGUUUUCAUUAA